Molecule: ribosomal RNA, 2775 nt
Filed under: Reclinomonas americana ATCC 50633
Lineage: Eukaryota; Jakobea; Jakobida; Histionidae
Description: LSU rRNA
Rfam family: Bacterial large subunit ribosomal RNA
Source: RNAcentral
AUAAAGACAAAAGAAGGUAUUUAAUGGAUGCCUUGGUAUUCGGUUAUGGACGUAAUACGUUGCGAUAAGUCAUGGGGAGAAACGUAGAAAAACUGUGAUCCAUGAAUAGCCAUAGAGAAAACUCACUCGUAAUGAGUAGAGUCAUUAUAUAUGAUUCUAUAUACUUGGCGAACUGAAACAUCUAAGUAGCCAAAGGAAAAGAAAUCAAAAGAGAUUCCGUUAGUAGUGGCGAGCGAAUACGGAUUAGGUCAUUUUAUUCUGUAGUACAGAAUAAAAACUAUUUGAAUAAAUUAAUAAGAAAAGAUUGGAAAAUCUUGCCAUAGAAGGUGAUAGCCCUGUAUUUAAACGUAAUCAUUUGAAUAGUGGAGUAAGACGGAACACGUGAAAUUUUGUCUGAAUAUAGCAGGACCACCUGCUAAACCUAAAUAUAACCGAAUAACCGAUAGUGAACAAGUACCGUGAGGGAAAGGUGAAAAGAACCCUGAAAAGGGAGUGAAAAGAACCUGAAAUUGAAUACUUACAAGCAGUCGGAGUGAACUUAUUUAUAAGUUUAUGACGGCGUACCUUUUGCAUAAUGGGUCAGCGAGUUCAUAUACGCAGCAAGCUUAAUCCGUUAGGAAUAGGCGCAGUGAAAACGAGUUUGAAAAAUAGCGUUAAGUUGCGUGUAUGAGACCCGAAACUGAGUGAUCUAUCCAUGAACAGGUUGAAGGUGUGGUGAAACAUACUGGAGGACCGAACCCACGUAUGUGGAAAAAUAUGGGGAUGAUUUGUGGAUAGGGGUGAAAGGCUAAUCAAACUCAGAGAUAGCUGGUUUUCUGCGAAAUCUAUUUAGGUAGAGCGUUGUUAAUUAAUCAUUUGGGGUAGAGCACUCAUUGAGUACUUGGGGGGUGUGAAACUACUUCAGGCUCAAGGAAACUCCGAAUACGAAUGAUUGUAUAACAGCAGACAGACUAUGGGCGAUAAGGUCCGUGGUCGAGAGGGAAACAGCCCAGACCGUAAGCUAAGGUCCCAAAGUAAUUACUAAGUGGUAAAGGAUGUUAAAAGGCCAAGACAACCAGGAGGUGGGCUUGGAAGCAGCCAUCCUUUAAAGAAAGCGUAACAGCUCACUGGUCUAUAUAAGCCUUUUUGCGCCGAAAAUGUAACGGGGCUUAAGUAAUUCACCGAAGCUGCGGAAGAUUUUAUAAUCUUGGUAGCAGAACGUUCUGUAAGUUGUAGAAGAUAAAAUGUGAAUUUUAUUGGAGAUAUCAGAAGUGAGAAUGCUGACAUGAGUAGCGACAAACAAUGUGAAAAUCAUUGUCACCGUAAGUUCAAGGGUUUCUGUGCAAGGUUCGUCCACGCAGAGUGAAUCGGUCCCUAAUAAAAAAACGAAUGUUGUAUUAGAUGGGAAUUUUUUAUUAAGUAAUUAGUAAAAUAGUAUCAAUGGUGACGAAUUGUAUAAUAUAAGCGUAUGUUGAUUGGAUUAUAUAUGCUUAUAAUACGGUUCCAGGAAAAAGCCUUGAUAUGAAAAACCGUACCCCAAACCGACACAGGUGAACGAGUAGAAUAUACUAAGGUGAGUGAGAGAACAAUCUUGAAGGAACUCGGCAAAAUGGCUCCGUAACUUAGGAAGAAGGAGUACUUAUAUAAUUAUAUAUUGGUUAUAUAAGUGGCACUUAAUAGGGGGAAGCGACUGUUUAAUAAAAACACAAGACUCUGCUAAACCGUAAGGUGAUGUAUAGGGUCUGACACCUGCCCGGUGCUGGAAGGUUAACGUGAUUUGUUUAUAGCAAAGAUCUUAAGCCCCAGUAAACGGCAGCCGUAACCAUAACGGUUCUAAGGUAGCGAAAUUCCUUUUCGGGUAAGUUCCGAAGUGCAUGAAUGGUGUAACGACUUCCCUACUGUCUCCAAGAUUGACUCAGCGAAAUUGAACUCUCCGUGAAGAUGCGGAGUUCCAACGGUUAGACGGAAAGACCCCGUGCACCUUUACUACAUCUUUACAAUGCUAAGAAAGAUAUAAUGUGUAGAAUAGGUGGGAGCUUAUGACACCUCGACGCUAGUCGAUUGUAGAGGCAACAAUGAAAUACCACUCUUUAUAUCUUUUAUGGCUAACUAAUAUUUUAAUAGUAAAAUUUAGGACAUUGUAUGGUUGGUAGUUUGACUGGGGCGGUCGCCUCCUAAAGAGUAACGGAGGCGCGCAAAGGUGGGCUCAGGUUGGUUGGAAACCAACUGUAGAGUGUAAUGGCAUAAGCCCGCUUGACUGUGACACCUACAAGUGAAACAGAGACGUAAGUCGGCCAUAGUGAUCCGGUGGUGCUGUGUGGAAAGGCCAUCGCUCAACGGAUAAAAGGUACGCCGGGGAUAACAGGCUAAUGACUCCCAAGAGCUCUUAUCGACGGAGUCGUUUGGCACCUCGAUGUCGGCUCAUCACAUCCUGGAGCUGCAGAAGGUUCCAAGGGUUUGGCUGUUCGCCAAUUAAAGUGGUACGUGAGCUGGGUUUAGAACGUCGUGAGACAGUUCGGUCCCUAUCUGCCGUUGGUGCUGGAGAAUUGAGAGGUUCCGACCCUAGUACGAGAGGAUCGGGGAGGAUAUACCUAUGGUGUACCGAUUGUUAAGCCAAUAGCAUAGUCGGGUAGCUACGUAUAGACAGAAUAACCGCUGAAAGCAUAUAAGCGGGAAUUCUACCUCAAAACAAGUUCUCCUUUGAGAGCCGUGAUAGACUAUCACGUUAAUAGGUCAAAAGUGUAAACAUGGUGACAUGCAGCUAAUUGAUACUAAUAUCUCGAAUGUCUUUCAUAU